AACCACCGCGCCCAGCCAGAUUGUAUAAAUCUUUUGCCUUUUACUAAAGAUUUCCAUGGAAAGGAACAGUUAUGAGUCUUUACCCAAUUUUUUGAGGCCUCAUAAAACACCUGAGACA
Molecule: small nuclear RNA, 118 nt
Organism: Callithrix jacchus (white-tufted-ear marmoset)
Lineage: Eukaryota; Metazoa; Chordata; Mammalia; Primates; Cebidae
Gene: U5
Rfam family: U5 spliceosomal RNA
About the family: U5 RNA is a component of both types of known spliceosome. The precise function of this molecule is unknown, though it is known that the 5' loop is required for splice site selection and p220 binding, and that both the 3' stem-loop and the Sm site are important for Sm protein binding and cap methylation.
Source: Ensembl